GAUGAACGCUGGCGGCGUGCCUAAUACAUGCAAGUCGAGCGAACGGACGAGAAGCUUGCUUCUCUGAUGUUAGCGGCGAACGGGUGAGUAACACGUGGAUAACCUACCUAUAAGACUGGGAUAACUUCGGGAAACCGGAGCUAAUACCGGAUAAUAUUUUGAACCGCAUGGUUCAAAAGUGAAAGACGGUCUUGCUGUCACUUAUAGAUGGAUCCGCGCUGCAUUAGCUAGUUGGUAAGGUAACGGCUUACCAAGGCAACGAUGCAUAGCCGACCUGAGAGGGUGAUCGGCCACACUGGAACUGAGACACGGUCCAGACUCCUACGGGAGGCAGCAGUAGGGAAUCUUCCGCAAUGGGCGAAAGCCUGACGGAGCAACGCCGCGUGAGUGAUGAAGGUCUUCGGAUCGUAAAACUCUGUUAUUAGGGAAGAACAGAUGUGUAAGUAACUGUGCACAUCUUGACGGUACCUAAUCAGAAAGCCACGGCUAACUACGUG
Molecule: ribosomal RNA, 497 nt
Filed under: uncultured bacterium
Lineage: Bacteria
Description: partial 16S ribosomal RNA
Rfam family: Bacterial small subunit ribosomal RNA
Source: RNAcentral